UUGUCAUUUGUGACACCCAGCCAAAGUCUGCCAUGUAAACUCUACGAUGAAAUUGCUUGUCUUCUGGGGUUGAGAUAGGCCUUAUAGCAACCAACAUAUACAGCUCCAUUACUCUAGGAGAGUCCCACCACGUAAAGGGGUAGUUGAACUCUGGCCAAGUUACUUACAAAUAUAUUGUAGUUGCUUACUCUUUUGUAAAGACACAUCAAAUCAUGUCGUUUCAAAUCCAAAAUUUGAAAUGAAAUACAUGUUCUCAAAUGCAAUCUAAAGGAAAUCCAUUGAUCGUUUACAACUAUAAAUUGUUGCUGUUAAUAAGGAUUCCGCGUCCUGUUUAAUAUAGAAGAUUUUGCAUCUUUCCAUUUACUUGCCAGUUCUGGAACAUUAGUACAUAUUCUUUAGGUUUCGACGAGGGUUAAAUUACCUGAGGCCUCCAAGUCUGUCCGUCUCUUUGCCUUCGCAAGUCAGAAAAGUAUAAAAUCCGUUUCUCAGGUAAACCUGAAUUUGAAUAGGCCGCAGUAGUUAGUAGAAGAGAUAAUGUUGUAAAAUGGUGGAUGCCUACUUUACAACAGAAGUGUUUGACUGCCGAUUUGACUGGUCUUCUUGUGUAAAGUUUAUAAUCAUGCUUUUGUUACACUAAUACUAAAGAAUUCAGAUUAUCUAUAUUUGUAUUUGUAUAUGAUGUAUACUGCAGAGUGCAGAGCACUCUCAGAGUAUUGUAUCUUGUUAAUUGUUGGGUGAUGUACCAUUAGUUUUGUCUGGUCCUUAACUAGCAUCUUUAAUUAUUUGCAUUCUCUUUUUUAUUAGUCCUUGUGUCGAUCACAUAUAAUACUGUUCUAGUCAAUAUUUGCUGUACCA
This 855-nucleotide long non-coding RNA is filed under the name Daucus carota (carrot). RNAcentral describes it as "long non-coding RNA (DCAR_LNC007725)". The record is from RNAcentral. Lineage: Eukaryota; Viridiplantae; Streptophyta; Magnoliopsida; Apiales; Apiaceae.